GGAUCUCAAAACCCUGGUUGCAUAAAGUGAACACUGAUGAAACUAUGACACCCAGACAUGACGGUAUAAAACAUCCACAACAUAAUGGUCUGACUUUAUUAUUCUCAUUCAGAACUGGCUACUUAAGUUUGUUUUCAAAGUAAAAGAUUGGAUUUUAAUGACAUUAUUGAAAAGGUUAAUAUAGCAAGUUGAG
Haliotis rufescens (red abalone) is the source of this 193-nucleotide long non-coding RNA. RefSeq lists it as uncharacterized. Lineage: Eukaryota; Metazoa; Mollusca; Gastropoda; Lepetellida; Haliotidae. The transcript is spliced from 2 exons. The record is from RefSeq and is a predicted model, not a curated record.